Long non-coding RNA from Magallana angulata, 2420 nucleotides. RefSeq lists it as uncharacterized. Lineage: Eukaryota; Metazoa; Mollusca; Bivalvia; Ostreida; Ostreidae. The transcript is spliced from 2 exons. The record is from RefSeq and is a predicted model, not a curated record.
AACCUGACCGUAACAAACUUUUUACAGGUAAGUACACUCAAUCAAAAUCAUUUUGAAAAGAAAUUCUACUUAUUUGUUUGAAAAGCUGGUUGUUUGCUUGUUUAAUCAAUACAAAAAAUAAUAUUUGAAGUUUGGAUUCAAGCAGGGUAAAGUUUCAGUUUGCUGGAAUACAAUAAACAUGUUUUGGAAGCAUAUCCUUUAGUGUUUACAUGUAAAGAGAACAGGAUUGGGAAAUUUCUUUAAAAGGGCUAUUUCAAAAUAAUUUGACAUAAAUUCUAUUGAUAUGAUAAUGAGACAGACUAUAUCUGAACUUAUUGGAUUUAAGAAACUCGAUCAGUAGUUCAUUCACCAGAGAAUGAUUCAAAAUUGAAAACACUUGAUUUUGCAGAUCGUAUAUUUUAAAUGUAUUCUGGUGCUGCUAAUGAAAUAAAUAACAUUGAUUCAGUGUUGACCGCUCAAUCCCUUGCAGCACUGAAUGCUUGUUAGUAUAGACCCAAGAGAUGCAUGACUCCUAGCUCUUAUAUUACUGCAGACUCCAAAUGCUCGUCAAAAAACACACAUAAUGGAGUUAAAAUGAUUUGUCAGACUUGAAUGAAAUCUGGUGUAAGUUCUGCUCUUGAAUACUUAAUGAGUGUUUGCACCAUUCCUUUCUAAGCACCAGGACAUGCCUUGCAUAUAAAUUAGAGGAUCAUUUUUCAAUAUGCCAUGUUUGGUAGAAAACAAGAUGGUGUGUAAUUUCCAUUCAUGUCUUUCUUUACUUCCAUGCUGUUUGUACUAAUUACAUGUUCUGCAUUCUAAAAAGCCUUAGACACAAUAAAAAAAAGUACACAAAUUCAAGCCUCUCUUCUUUUUCUAAUAAAAAAGUUGCAAUUUUCUUUUAGCGACAAGGAAAAAAAAAUAAUAUGCCAUUUCUUUUUUUUUACCCAAACAGAACAUAUGCUGCAACUUUCUUCAAGCAACAAAUUUUCUUUGCCAUGCAAUUUAAACAAUCACUUAACAGUGAUAAAAACAUUUAUAAUGUCUGACACCAAAUCGUUGCUGUCAUUUGUGCUGCUAUUUUUUUUACGCUGAUUGCCCAUAAAUCACGCUUCUCUCACAUCGCUCAGAUGACGACUUUUCAUUGUAGACUUUUUUUUAUUUAUGUAAUGUUCAUUAGGGAAAGUGAUGAUUGGGUCACGACAACACCUUAAGUACAUGGAACUUCUGACGAUAUUUCAACCAUCAAACAAAUUUGCCAUCACCACGAAGGUGUGCAUACUAACAAUUUUUCAAACACAUUUCCUGUGAAAAUUACACUUGAUUUCACAGUGUAUUGACGAAUAAAUUUGCGACAUUAAUGCCCAAAAUGAACUUUUGAAAUAUUUUACAUGAAAAACAGUUGGCCCUUUCAUGCAUUUUGAAUUCUACUUGUUUGCUGACAAUAGAGUGGAUUUUCCUGCGGUGUUAUAUGUUUUGCAAAUUUGCCAGAUACAAAAUAAUGUUAUUGGAAUCAUAGAAAAAAGAUACAGCAAUGUGCCACAAAUCCAACUUAUUGCUUAAAUUAAAGCCUUUAAAGUUUUUAAUAUUUGAACAUGUAUAUUACAGAAUACAAUAAUUCAGUUUAGCUUGAUUACUGCAAAUAUUAGUGAAACAUGAUGCAUGUGGGCCUAAUUGCUCACCUGAGUAAUGAAAUUUUGGGUCAUUUCUGUUACAUUUUCUUUCUUAUACAUGUAUAUGGAAAGUCAAAGUCUAAAUAUUAGACAAAGGUUGAAUUGAUCUAAUCAAAAUGUAUCUUUGGUUCAAGUUUGAUUACACAUGUAAUAUCUAAAAAAAAAUUAUCUUUGAAACUGUGGUAAUUUUAAGGUAUGAAAGAUGGACAGGAUGAACAAAAGUUAGAGGGAUAAAAAGAUGGACAUUAUAUCGCCAAAUACAUGAUUGGGGCAUAAGACACUGAUGACAAAUUGAGCCUUUGCCUCAGAUAACCUAAAGGUGUUCAUAAAGGGUUAUCAAAUAACAGAAGCAUGUAUUAAAUGGUGGGGCAAGGGUUACAGUAUAGCUCAAUCAAAAGAUCAUCCACCUUCUUGGGGAUUCGCUUUGGGGGACAUUUCAAAGACAGACGUCUGAAGAGUCGUAAAUAGCAGCUCUCUUGAAACACGUCCAAGACAUCUGUCAGAUACAGAGCUUGUUCCGCUGAGAGUACAAGAUGAAACUGAACGAUUCAGGAUAUUUUUGGAGAGAAGUCUCGUCAAACAUCGCAUUAUGGGCAUCACUACGAGACGAGGGGUGUUAAUGAUCAGAUGAAAUUUUGAUUUUCUUCUCGACUAUAUCUGAACCAUUAUACAAAUGUCGUUAACAGAAAGACACUUCAUACACAUAUUCUAUAUAUAUAAUGGACCCCUUCAUAUUGUGCAUUUUCUUUCAAAAUAAAUAUAUAAAAUUCA